UUCUUGAACUUCUUGUUAGAUUUCAAGUCUGUAUUUUGUGUCCGUGACACAAAUCCUAAAUAAACCUUAGUCAAAUUCUAAACAAAUCCUAGUCAAAUCUUAAACAAAUCCUAGUCAAAUCCUAAAAAAAUUUAAACAAAUCCUAACCAAAUCUUAAAUAAACCUUAAUUGAAGUCUAAAAAAAUCCUAACCAAAUCUUGGUCAAAUCCUAAAAAAUACUAAUCAAAUCCUAAACAAACCAUAACCAAACCCUAGCCAAAUCCUAAACAAACCUUAACCAAAUCUUAAUCAAAUCUUAAACAAAUCCUAACCAAAUACUAAUCAAAUCCUAAACAAAAUCUAACCAAAUUCUAAUCAAAUUCUAAUCAAAUCUUAAUCAAAUCCUAAACAAACCUAAACAAAUCUUAACGAAAUCCUAAUCAAAUC
This 426-nucleotide long non-coding RNA is filed under the name Physcomitrium patens. Its description in RNAcentral is "long non-coding RNA (PPAT_LNC003900)". Lineage: Eukaryota; Viridiplantae; Streptophyta; Bryopsida; Funariales; Funariaceae. The record is from RNAcentral.